GAUUCCGCUACGUCGACACUCCGUCGAGCCCCCGAUGCCCCAGUUUCGACCACACCCGACGGCCAUCAAAGGGAUUGUUUCGUGCACGAUAGACGUCAGACCCCGUAGGUAGAAACAAUAGGGACACAGAACAAGCAAGUGAAUGUGAUGACAUGCAGAUCACUCUAGAAGCUAAAAUUAAAAUAAUUUGGAUUAAGUGAAUUACUUAUGCUCUAAUGAAAUGAAUUCCAAGUGCUACUUAUUAUCUAACUGUUUAGAUACCAUGCAAGUAAUUUAAACAUCUAAAUGGUGAAACUCGUGAUCUAUAUGCUAGUUGUUUCUUAUUGCAGUUUUUGAAGUAGCUUACUGGAAUUGUACUACACAUGAAUUCGUAGAUAUAUAUAAAAUUACAGAUAAGGGUGAGACAGAUUAUUUGGCAAAAUGCUUUGAUUAUAUCUACAUAUAUUUUUUCUUUAAUAGCAUAAAUUUAAGGAAGUGCAUUCAAAACUAGUAACUAGGAUACAUACACUUAAACACUAAAUUGAACUACGACACUUGUCACAGGGAAGAAUUUAUAAGUUGAAGAAUCAACGCAUCAACUAGAACGGUUGAGCGGUAACGAAUUACUACAAGAAUUUUGUAAUUUAUUCUUCGUAUCAUCUCACCAAUAAAUUCACAUAAUUGACUAUUCGUC
Molecule: long non-coding RNA, 673 nt
Organism: Aedes albopictus (Asian tiger mosquito)
Lineage: Eukaryota; Metazoa; Arthropoda; Insecta; Diptera; Culicidae
Exons: 3
Source: RefSeq, a predicted model, not a curated record